Regulatory RNA element from Prosthecochloris sp. GSB1, 75 nucleotides. It matches the Rfam family "Chlorobi-RRM RNA". The record is from Rfam. NCBI's taxonomy places the organism in Bacteria, Pseudomonadati, Chlorobiota, Chlorobiia, Chlorobiales, Chlorobiaceae.
UUGUCAGCCAAUGGUUGGUUGAACGCUUUCAGGUGAUUUGUGCUUUUGGUUAUUUGACGGCGUCUCUCUUUUUAU